RNAcentral lists this long non-coding RNA (1054 nucleotides) under Chrysemys picta bellii (western painted turtle). RNAcentral's name for it is "lncRNA (ENSCPBG00000009783.1)". The record is from RNAcentral. Lineage: Eukaryota; Metazoa; Chordata; Testudines; Emydidae.
AUGUACAAUCUGUCUCAGUCAAGACUGUACAUGUGCUUUUUUCCAUAAACGAAUCAAUCAUCAUUUGUUACAGAGCGCUGAAGAAGAUGGUUGAUGACACUGCAAGUAACUGGAAUGAAUUCCUUGAGCCCACUUUGAUUUCUUUGCGAACUAAAGUACACGCAACAACAAAACUUUCACCCUUUCGACUAAUGUUUUGCAAUGACCCAGUGUUUCCAGAAGAAGUCUCAGAGAAUGGCAUGAUUCCAGAUAUCAAUGAAUUUGGGGAAGAUUUCUGCAAAGAGUACAGGACAAAUAUGAAAUCUAGACCAGUGGUCUCCAAAGUGGGGUGCGCGCACCCCAGGGGUUGUGCAAGACGAUCCACUGGGGGGGCGUGGCAGGAGGAGCGCCGCUGGAGAAAAAAAAAAAGGGCGGCCGGAGGAGCGCCACCCUAAAGUUGGCCGGAAUGCCGCCCCUUACAGUGUGCUGCCCCAGGCACGUGCUUCCUACGCUGGUGGCUGGAGCCGGCCCUGUGAGGUAUCCUGAGGUAAGAGUGGGAGUUCCACAAUGCGGAGAGGUUGACAGUGCUGCCCCCUCUCGUUCGUUCGCUUUCAGCGUAUUGCGACGUAUCACAGUUUAUGUGUGCCCGGUUAAGUGGAUUUAUGGAUUAUAUUAUCUAGUUUUAACUAAACUAACCCUCACAAAAUGGACAAGUGGCUUAAAAAGAUUCCUGCAAAGAAACUGCAGAUUGAAGAUAAUACACCUCUACCCCAACAUAACGCUGUCCUCGGGAGCCAAAAAAUCUUAACGCGUUAUAGGUGAAACCGCGGUAUAUUGAACUUGCUUUGAUCCGCCAGAGUGCACAGCCCUGCCCCUCCGGAGCACUGCUUUACCACGUUCUAUCCAAAUUCGUGUUAUAUUGGGUCACGUUAUAUCGGGGUAGAGGUGUACUAAUAAUGCAAGCACAAGCAAACAACAAGAAAAUGGCAGAGCUGGCAGUUCUCCUACUCCUAGUACGAGCUCUUCGUCAGCCACACUAUGAGGUAAAAACAAUGAUGAUCUAAUCAGAUCUGAC